GCCGAAGUGGCGAAAUUGGCAGACGCACUUGACUCAAAAUCAAGCGGUAGCAAUACCGUGCCGGUUCGAGUCCGGCCUUCGGCACCA
Molecule: transfer RNA, 87 nt
Filed under: Clostridiaceae bacterium
Lineage: Bacteria; Bacillati; Bacillota; Clostridia; Eubacteriales; Clostridiaceae
Description: tRNA-Leu
Rfam family: tRNA
About the family: Transfer RNA (tRNA) molecules are approximately 80 nucleotides in length. Their secondary structure includes four short double-helical elements and three loops (D, anti-codon, and T loops).
Source: RNAcentral